GUUUUAAUAGUUUAAUAUAAAACAAUGAUUUUGUAAAUCAUAAAUGGUAAAUUAUCUUAAAACU
Molecule: transfer RNA, 64 nt
Filed under: Urostylis flavoannulata
Lineage: Eukaryota; Metazoa; Arthropoda; Insecta; Hemiptera; Urostylididae
Description: tRNA-Thr
Rfam family: tRNA
About the family: Transfer RNA (tRNA) molecules are approximately 80 nucleotides in length. Their secondary structure includes four short double-helical elements and three loops (D, anti-codon, and T loops).
Source: RNAcentral